CCCCAGUAACGGCGAGUGAAGCGGCAAGAGCUCAAAUUUGAAAUCUGGCCUCCCCCGGGGGCCCGAGUUGUAAUUUGCAGAGGAUGCUUCGGGUGCGGCCGCCGUCUAAGUUCCUUGGAACAGGACGUCAGAGAGGGUGAGAAUCCCGUCUUGGGCGGGCGGUCCGCGCCCGUGUGAAGCUCCUUCGACGAGUCGAGUUGUUUGGGAAUGCAGCUCUAAGCGGGUGGUAAAUUUCAUCUAAAGCUAAAUAUUGGCCGGAGACCGAUAGCGCACAAGUAGAGUGAUCGAAAGGUUAAAAGCACCUUGAAAAGGGAGUUAAACAGCACGUGAAAUUGUUGAAAGGGAAGCGCUUGCGGCCAGACUCGGGGGCGGGGUUCAGCGGGUGCUCGUCGCCCGUGUAUUCCUCGUCUCCCGGGCCAGCAUCAGUUUCGACGGCCGGUCAAAGGCCCCCGGAAUGUGUCGUCUCUCGGGACGUCUUAUAGCCGGGGGUGCAAUGCGGCCCGUCGGGACUGAGGAACGCGCUCCGGCUCGGAUGC
This 536-nucleotide ribosomal RNA is filed under the name Trichophyton mentagrophytes. RNAcentral's name for it is "eukaryotic LSU rRNA". It matches the Rfam family "Eukaryotic large subunit ribosomal RNA", at positions 78 to 626 of the family's 3401-position model. The record is from RNAcentral. Lineage: Eukaryota; Fungi; Ascomycota; Eurotiomycetes; Onygenales; Arthrodermataceae.